GGAGUCUUGCUCUGUCCCUCAGGCUGGAGUGCAGCGGCGCCAUCUCAGCUGAAUGCAACCUCUGCCUCCUGGGUUCAAGAGAUUCUCCUGCCUCAGCCUCCCAAGUAGCUGGGAUUACAGAACGCAAAAGAUUCUUCAAAAUCAAACUGUGUCCGGAAUUGGUGGGUUCUUGGUCUCACUGACUUCAAGAAUGAAGCCACGGACCCUGGCGGUGAGUGUUACAGCUCUUAAGGUGGCGUUUCUGGAGUCUGUCCCUUCUGAUGUUCAGAUGUGUUCGGAGUUUCUUCCUUCUGGUGGGUUCGUGGUCUCGCUGGCUCAGGAGUGAAGCUGCAGAUCUUCACGGUUGCUAGUAACACAAUAAUAAAGCUGCUUUAUUUUCCAGUGAAGAUGUAUGUGAUAGGGAGUGGAGGAAGAAAAAGGCCAGAAAAUUCCAUAGUUAGCAAAUAUACCUUUCUUACUUAAAAUUCUUUUUCCAAUGUGAGCCUUCUAAAGAGUUACUGAGAAAUUAGGUGAGCUCACCUCAUUUAAUGCAAUAGAUAUGUUUCUGAAAAAUAAGCAAUACAUAGGACAUUGGCCAAUUAAGAAUUCUGAUGAAGAAGAAUUUUCACAUCCGAAAGAGUAAAAAUGAAAAACGGUACAAAUGUAGUGGCUUUUAAAUUUCAAAACAAAUUAUUUUGAUAAGAUAAAUAUUCCUCUCAUAAAGUGAAAAUGGAAGAGACUGCUUGCUGGGUGUUCGUCAAAAUGGAGUUAGAUGGUCUGUCCCAGACUCCCCUGUUGUUAGUUCUGAGAACAGAAGUAAUGGUGCUUCUUCAGGACUGGCUCAUAGAAACCUGCCGUGUUCAGCCCCCACAAUCCUCUCCCUUCUGCUGGCUGGAAACAAAUGACAACGAAGCCUCACGUCUUGGAGAAACCACACUGCUGAGGAACUCAAGUCCUAGAAGAACCAUUUGAAGAGACCCAUCUCACUAAAGAAAAUCACACAAGCAAGAAGUAAACUUCAUUGUAUCUAUGUAUUUAAUUGUCAUAACAGUCUACCUUAACUGAUACAGCAAAAAUUCGCUCCUUUUCUGGACACCCAGUUUCAAAA
RNAcentral lists this long non-coding RNA (1087 nucleotides) under Homo sapiens (human). RNAcentral describes it as "LYPLAL1 antisense RNA 1". The record is from RNAcentral. Lineage: Eukaryota; Metazoa; Chordata; Mammalia; Primates; Hominidae.